AGCAGCCGCGGUAAUUCCAGCUCCAAUAGCGUAUAUUAAAGUUGCUGCAGUUAAAAAGCUCGUAGUUGAAUUUCGGGACUAAUAUGUCGGUCGUGCCUCGGUACGUACUGGCUUAUUGGUUUCUCCUUUCUGAAGAACCAUGAUGUCAUUUAUUUGGUGUCGUGGGGAAUCAGGACUGUUACUUUGAGAAAAUUAGAGUGUUUAAAGCAGGCUUACGCUUGAAUACAUUAGCAUGGAAUAAUGAAAUAGGACGUUUGAUUCUAUUUUGUUGGUUUCUAGGAUCGACGUAAUGAUUAAUAGGGAUAGUUGGGGGCAUUAGUAUUCAAUUGUCAGAGGUGAAAUUCUUGGAUUUAUUGAAGACUAACUACUGCGAAAGCAUUUGCCAAGGAUGUUUUCAUUAAUCAAGAACGAAAGUUAGGGGAUCGAAGACGAUCAGAUACCGUCGUAGUCUUAACCAUAAACUAUGCCGACUAGGGAUCGGAUGAUGUUAAUUUUUUAAUGACUCAUUCGGCGCCUUACG
This 520-nucleotide ribosomal RNA is filed under the name uncultured Glomus. RNAcentral describes it as "SSU rRNA". It matches the Rfam family "Eukaryotic small subunit ribosomal RNA", at positions 569 to 1092 of the family's 1831-position model. The record is from RNAcentral. Lineage: Eukaryota; Fungi; Glomeromycota; Glomeromycetes; Glomerales; Glomeraceae.